UUCCGGGUAGCUCAGAUGGUAAAGAAUCUGCCUGCAAUGCAGGAGACCUUGGUUUGAUUCCUAGGUCGGGAA
Molecule: transfer RNA, 72 nt
Filed under: Ovis aries (sheep)
Lineage: Eukaryota; Metazoa; Chordata; Mammalia; Artiodactyla; Bovidae
Rfam family: tRNA
About the family: Transfer RNA (tRNA) molecules are approximately 80 nucleotides in length. Their secondary structure includes four short double-helical elements and three loops (D, anti-codon, and T loops).
Source: Rfam by way of RNAcentral